This 484-nucleotide ribosomal RNA is filed under the name uncultured bacterium. RNAcentral describes it as "bacterial SSU rRNA". It matches the Rfam family "Bacterial small subunit ribosomal RNA", at positions 355 to 855 of the family's 1533-position model. The record is from RNAcentral.
UGGGGAAUAUUGGGCAAUGGGCGAGAGCCUGACCCAGCGACGCCGCGUGAGGGAUGACAGCCUUCGGGUUGUAAACCUCUGUUGUAUGGGAAGAAGGAAGUGACGGUACCAUACGAGGAAGCUCCGGCUAACUACGUGCCAGCAGCCGCGGUAAUACGUAGGGAGCGAGCGUUGUCCGGAAUUACUGGGCGUAAAGGGCACGCAGGCGGUCAUAUAAGUCAGCUGUUAAAUGUAUGGGCUUAACCGAUGCAUGCGGUUGAAACUGUAUGACUGGAGUACUGGAGAGGUAAGCGGAAUUCCCGGUGUAGCGGUGAAAUGCGUAGAUAUCGGGAAGAACACCAGUGGCGAAGGCGGCUUACUGGCCAGUUACUGACGCUGAGGUGCGAAAGCCAGGGGAGCGAACCGGAUUAGAUACCCGGGUAGUCCUGGCCGUAAACGAUGAAUGCUAGGUGUGGGUAUAGCGAUAUAUCCGUGCCGGAGUUAA